Molecule: ribosomal RNA, 468 nt
Filed under: uncultured bacterium
Lineage: Bacteria
Description: partial 16S ribosomal RNA
Rfam family: Bacterial small subunit ribosomal RNA
Source: RNAcentral
GACGAACGCUGGCGGCGUGCUUAACACAUGCAAGUCGAACGGAAAGGCCCUGCUUUUGUGGGGUGCUCGAGUGGCGAACGGGUGAGUAACACGUGAGUAACCUGCCCUUGACUUUGGGAUAACUUCAGGAAACUGGGGCUAAUACCGGAUAGGAGCUCCUGCUGCAUGGUGGGGGUUGGAAAGGUUCGGCGGUUGGGGCUGGACUCGCGGCUUAUCAGCCUGUUGGUGGGGUAGUGGCUUACCAAGGCUUUGACGGGUAGCCGGCCUGAGAGGGUGACCGGCCCCAUUGGGACUGAGAUACGGCCCAGACUCCUACGGGAGGCAGCAGUGGGGAAUAUUGCACAAUGGGCGGAAGCCGGAUGCAGCAACGCCGCGUGCGGGAUGACGGCCUUCGGGUUGUAAACCGCUUUCGCCUGUGACGAAGCGUGAUUGACGGUAAUGGGUAAAGAAGCACCGGCUAACUACGUG